This 253-nucleotide ribosomal RNA is filed under the name uncultured bacterium. Its description in RNAcentral is "partial 16S ribosomal RNA". It matches the Rfam family "Bacterial small subunit ribosomal RNA", at positions 524 to 776 of the family's 1533-position model. The record is from RNAcentral.
UACAGAGGGGGCCAGCGUUAUUCGGAAUUAUUGGGCGUAAAGGGCGCGUAGGCGGCCUGAUAAGUCGGGGGUGAAAGCCUGUGGCUCAACCACAGAAUUGCCUUCGAUACUGUUAGGCUUGAGACCGGAAGAGGUAAGUGGAACUGCGAGUGUAGAGGUGAAAUUCGUAGAUAUUCGCAAGAACACCAGUGGCGAAGGCGGCUUACUGGUCCGGUUCUGACGCUGAUGCGCGAAAGCGUGGGGAGCAAACGGG